This 468-nucleotide ribosomal RNA is filed under the name uncultured bacterium. RNAcentral describes it as "partial 16S ribosomal RNA". It matches the Rfam family "Bacterial small subunit ribosomal RNA", at positions 28 to 507 of the family's 1533-position model. The record is from RNAcentral.
GAUGAACGCUGGCGGCGUGCUUAACACAUGCAAGUCGAACGGAAAGGCCCAAGCUUGCUUGGGUACUCGAGUGGCGAACGGGUGAGUAACACGUGGGUGAUCUGCCCUGCACUUCGGGAUAAGCCUGGGAAACUGGGUCUAAUACCGGAUAGGACCACUUCUUGGAUGUUGUGGUGGAAAGUUUUUUCGGUGUGGGAUGAGCUCGCGGCCUAUCAGCUUGUUGGUGGGGUAAUGGCCUACCAAGGCGUCGACGGGUAGCCGGCCUGAGAGGGUGUACGGCCACAUUGGGACUGAGAUACGGCCCAGACUCCGACGGGAGGCAGCAAGGGGGAAUAUUGCACAAUAGGCGCAAGCCUGAUGCAGCGACGCCGCGUGGGGGAUGACGGCCUUCGGGUUGUAAACUCCUUUCGCUAGGGACGAAGCGUUUUUGUGACGGUACCUGGAGAAGAAGCACCGGCUAACUACGUG